CAUGUCCUUUUGAAAAAAAUUUAAGGUCUAAUCUGCUCAAUGAUAUUUAAAUAGCCGCAGUAUUUUGACUGUGCAAAGGUAGCAUAAUAAUUAGUUUCUUAAUUAGGAGCUGGAAUGAAUGAUUGGACAAGAAAAUUUCUGUCUCUUUCUUAGUUUUAUUGAAUUUUAUUUUUAAGUGAAAAAGCUUAAAUUUUUAUAAAAGACGAGAAGACCCUAUAGAGUUUAAUAAUUUAAUUUUAAUAAGAAUUUAGGAUAAUUAUUUAAUAUUUAUUAUUUGGUUGGGGUGAUUAAAAGAUUAAUAUAAUUCUUUUAUUAAUUAAAUUGAAUAUUUUCAAUUUUUAAAUCUAUAGUUUAUAAAACUAAAAUAAAUUACCUUAGGGAUAACAGCGUAAUUUUUCUUUAAAGUUCUUAUUGUAGGAAAAGUUUGCGACCUCGAUGUUGGAUUAAAAUUAAUUUUUGGUGCAAUAACUAAAAAAUUAGGUCUGUUCGACCUUUAAAAUU
RNAcentral lists this ribosomal RNA (501 nucleotides) under Cautires sp. UPOL ZL2015. RNAcentral's name for it is "partial 16S ribosomal RNA". The stretch from base 380 to 501 matches the Rfam family "Archaeal large subunit ribosomal RNA", at positions 2542 to 2664 of the family's 2987-position model. Lineage: Eukaryota; Metazoa; Arthropoda; Insecta; Coleoptera; Lycidae. The record is from RNAcentral.